This 463-nucleotide ribosomal RNA is filed under the name uncultured bacterium. Its description in RNAcentral is "partial 16S ribosomal RNA". It matches the Rfam family "Bacterial small subunit ribosomal RNA", at positions 28 to 507 of the family's 1533-position model. The record is from RNAcentral.
GACGAACUCUGGCGGCGUGCUUAACACAUGCAAGUCGAACGGAAAGGCCUUUUCGGAGGUACUCGAGUGGCGAACGGGUGAGUAACACGUGGGUGAUCUGCCCUGCACUCUGGGAUAAGCCUGGGAAACUGGGUCUAAUACCGGAUAGGACCGCACUUUAGUGUGUGUGGUGGAAAGUUUUUUCGGUGUAGGAUGAGCCCGCGGCCUAUCAGCUUGUUGGGGGGGUAAUGGCCUACCAAGGCGGCGACGGGUAGCCGGACUGAGAGGUUGGUCGGCCACAUUGGGACUGAGAGACGGCCCAGAUUCGUAAGGGAGGGAGCAGUGGGGAAUAUUGCACAAUGGGCGCAAGGCUGAUGCAGCGACGCAGCGUGGGGGAUGACGGCAUUCGGGUUGUAAACUCCUUUCGCCAGGGACGAAGCGUUUUGUGACGGUACCUGGAGAAGAAGCACCGGCUAACUACGUG